Molecule: ribosomal RNA, 484 nt
Filed under: uncultured bacterium
Lineage: Bacteria
Description: partial 16S ribosomal RNA
Rfam family: Bacterial small subunit ribosomal RNA
Source: RNAcentral
AUUGAACGCUGGCGGCAGGCCUAACACAUGCAAGUCGAGCGGAUGAGGGGAGCUUGCUCCUGGAUUCAGCGGCGGACGGGUGAGUAAUGCCUAGGAAUCUGCCUGGUAGUGGGGGAUAGCGUCCGGAAACGGGCGCUAAUACCGCAUACGUCCUGAGGGAGAAAGUGGGGGAUCUUCGGACCUCACGCUAUCAGAUGAGCCUAGGUCGGAUUAGCUAGUUGGUGGGGUAAAGGCCUACCAAGGCGACGAUCCGUAACUGGUCUGAGAGGAUGAUCAGUCACACUGGAACUGAGACACGGUCCAGACUCCUACGGGAGGCAGCAGUGGGGAAUAUUGGACAAUGGGCGAAAGCCUGAUCCAGCCAUGCCGCGUGUGUGAAGAAGGUCUUCGGAUUGUAAAGCACUUUAAGUUGGGAGGAAGGGCAGUAAGUUAAUACCUUGCUGUUUUGACGUUACCAACAGAAUAAGCACCGGCUAACUUCGUG